AAGUUGCAGGGUAUAGACCCGAAACCCGGUGAUCUAGCCAUGGGCAGGUUGAAGGUUGGGUAACACUAAGUGGAGGACCGAACCGACUAAUGUUGAAAAAUUAGCGGAUGACUUGUGGCUGGGGGUGAAAGGCCAAUCAAACCGGGAGAUAGCUGGUUCUCCCCGAAAGCUAUUUAGGUAGCGCCUCGUGAAUUCAUCUCCGGGGGUAGAGCACUGUUUCGGCAAGGGGGUCAUCCCGACUUACCAACCCGAUGCAAACUGCGAAUACCGGAGAAUGUUAUCACGGGAGACACACGGCGGGUGCUAACGUCCGUCGUGAAGAGGGAAACAACCCAGACCGCCAGCUAAGGUCCCAAAGUCAUGGUUAAGUGGGAAACGAUGUGGGAAGGCCCAGACAGCCAGGAUGUUGGCUUAGAAGCAGCCAUCAUUUAAAGAAAGCGUAAUAGCUCACUGGUCGAGUCGGCCUGCGCGGAAGAUGUAACGGGGCUAAACCAUGCACCGAAGCUGCGGCAGCGACGCUUAUGCGUUGUUGGGUAGGGGAGCGUUCUGUAAGCCUGUGAAGGUGUACUGUGAGGUAUGCUGGAGGUAUCAGAAGUGCGAAUGCUGACAUAAGUAACGAUAAAGCGGGUGAAAAGCCCGCUCGCCGGAAGACCAAGGGUUCCUGUCCAACGUUAAUCGGGGCAGGGUGAGUCGACCCCUAAGGCGAGGCCGAAAGGCGUAGUCGAUGGGAAACAGGUUAAUAUUCCUGUACUUGGUGUUACUGCGAAGGGGGGACGGAGAAGGCUAUGUUGGCCGGGCGACGGUUGUCCCGGUUUAAGCGUGUAGGCUGGUUUUCCAGGCAAAUCCGGAAAAUCAAGGCUGAGGCGUGAUGACGAGGCACUACGGUGCUGAAGCAACAAAUGCCCUGCUUCCAGGAAAAGCCUCUAAGCAUCAGGUAACAUCAAAUCGUACCCCAAACCGACACAGGUGGUCAGGUAGAGAAUACCAAGGCGCUUGAGAGAACUCGGGUGAAGGAACUAGGCAAAAUGGUGCCGUAACUUCGGGAGAAGGCACGCUGAUAUGUAGGUGAAGUCCCUCGCGGAUGGAGCUGAAAUCAGUCGAAGAUACCAGCUGGCUGCAACUGUUUAUUAAAAACACAGCACUGUGCAAACACGAAAGUGGACGUAUACGGUGUGACGCCUGCCCGGUGC
This 1190-nucleotide ribosomal RNA is filed under the name Escherichia coli. RNAcentral's name for it is "partial 23S ribosomal RNA". It matches the Rfam family "Bacterial large subunit ribosomal RNA", at positions 697 to 1869 of the family's 2925-position model. The record is from RNAcentral. Lineage: Bacteria; Pseudomonadati; Pseudomonadota; Gammaproteobacteria; Enterobacterales; Enterobacteriaceae.